Molecule: ribosomal RNA, 2364 nt
Filed under: Triticum aestivum (bread wheat)
Lineage: Eukaryota; Viridiplantae; Streptophyta; Magnoliopsida; Poales; Poaceae
Description: partial small subunit ribosomal RNA
Source: RNAcentral
AUGGGCGGCGCGCGCUCGCAGGUCAACAAGGCGCACAAGACGCGCUUCGCCUCCAAGGCCUCCCGCCACUCGCACAAGAUCGAUAAGGUCAGGAGCGGGAAGCCUGCGGGCAGCCACCGCGCCGCCCUCAAGGGCGCCCGUGCGGCGCGCCUCCAGCACAGCAAAGCGAUCCGUGAUCAGAAACGCGCUGCCUUGCUAAAGGAGAAGCGGUCAUCUAAUGGCUCCUCAAGUGCACCCCGUGUUAUUGUUCUUUGUGGCCUUUCCUCAUCUGCAAAUAUUGGACCACUUGCCGAAGAUCUUUUGACAUUUGCAGCAGGAGGAGAUGAGAAACUGACUUCCAACACCGUUGCUUCUCCCGCCUAUAAAGUUCGAACCACGGUACUGCAAGCACCAUAUGGCGAUCUCACUUCAUGCAUGGAACUGGCAAAGGUUGCUGAUUUGUUAGCAUUCGUAGUGUCAGCAAAUUCAUUAUACAACAGCAAUUCAGGCAAUCCAAUUGAUGAGUUUGGAUCACAAUGUCUAUCUGUUCUUCGAGCUGUGGGCUUACCUAGUACAGCUGUUUUCAUUCGAGAUCUUCCAUCAGAUACCAAAAGUAAGCAGGAAUUGAAGAAAGCAGCGGUUUCUUUCCUUUCUCCAGAGCUGCCUGAAGAUUGCAGGUUCUAUGCAGCAGAAACUAAGGAUGAUUUGCAUAUGUUCAUGCGGCUUUUCAAGGAGCAACAUCUUUCAUCACCACAUUGGAGAAAUCAGAGACCCUAUGUUAUGUCUGAGGAGGCCUGCAUAAAACCAGGUGACAGUAUGGGAUUGUGCACCUUGCUUGUGUCUGGAUAUCUGCGGGCCCACAAUCUUUCAGUGAAUCAGCUUGUACAUGUGUCAGGUGCUGGUGAUUUUCAGUUAGGACAAAUUGAUAUCCUGAAGGAUCCAUGUCCUGUUAGUGAGAGGAAAAACUCUGAUGUAAUGGAUUCAGAUGAUAAUCAAAUUCAGAUUAUUGAUACCUUCGUUCCAGACCCCUUGAAUCAGGAACCAUUACUUGUUGAAAAUAUUCCAGAUCCUCUUGCAGGAGAGCAGACUUGGCCAACAGAAGCUGAGAUGGAGGAAGCCUAUGAAAGCAAUAAACAAAGAAAGGUUGUAAAGAGGAAACUUCCUCGCGGCACAUCAGAAUACCAGGCUGCUUGGAUUGUUGAUGAUACAGAUGAUGAAGGUGAUGAUUCUGAGAAUGACAAUCCAGAUGGUGCUGGAAUGGUAAUUGAUGAGAAAGAUCACUCAGAGCACGACAGCGAUAGUUCAGAUAUAGAUGCAGUGUCUCACUUCAUGGAGAAAUUUGAUCAAGAAACUAUUGGGGGUUCUGAGAUGGGAGAUGAUGAAAAUCUUACCAAAGAGCAGAUAGAGGAAGACAUCAAGAGAAUCAAAGAAUCUAAUGCUGAUGAUGAAGAAUUUCCUGAUGAGGUGGAGACACCCUUAGAUGUCCCGGCAAGAAAACGUUUCGCAAAAUACAGAGGUCUAAAAUCAUUUAGGACAUCAUCCUGGGAUCCUAAGGAAUCUUUGCCACCUGAAUAUGCAAGAAUAUUUGCAUUCGAUAAGUUUACACGAACACAAAAGCACGUGCUUGCUAAAAGGGCUGAGCUAGAUGAAGAAAGCUCAAAGGAUUGUGCCCGAAUAGGAUCAUAUGUUAUGCUUCACGUGAAAAAUGUUCCUACAGAUGUUGCCUCCAAACUUUGUCAUCCAUCAAGAAGAUUACCUGUGGUUGUUUCUGGUCUUCUUCAACAUGAGUCGAAAAUUUCAGUUCUUCAUUUCAGUAUAAAAAAGCAUGACUCCUAUGAAGCUCCUAUCAGAAGUAAGGAACCUCUUAUUUUCAAUGUUGGAUUCCGGCAGUUUACGGCAAGGCCACUAUUUUCAUCUGACAACAUCAAUUGCAAUAAGCAUAAGAUGGAGAGAUUUUUACAUCAUGGGCGAUUUUCUAUUGCUUCCGUCUAUGCUCCAAUUUCCUUUCCACCCGUUCCUCUGAUUGUUUUGAAGAACAUAGAUGGGCAACAACCUGUCAUUGCUGCAGUAGGUACACUGAAAAGUGUGGACCCUGACCAGAUUAUUCUCAAAAAAAUUGUUUUGACUGGGUAUCCCCAGAGAGUCUCGAAACUCAAAGCAAUGGUGCGGUACAUGUUCCACCACCCAGAAGACGUCAGAUGGUUCAAGCCUGUCGAGCUGUGGACGAAACAUGGCAAACGCGGCCGGAUCAAGGAGACUGUCGGCACUCACGGUUCCAUGAAGUGCAUAUUCAACAGCAGCGUCCAGCAGCAUGAUACCGUGUGCAUGAGCUUGUUCAAACGAGCUUUCCCCAAAUGGCCAGAACAGUUCUAUCAUCAGAUAUAA